AUUGAACGCUGGCGGCAUGCCUUACACAUGCAAGUCGAACGGCAGCGGACCUUCGGGUGCCGGCGAGUGGCGAACGGGUGAGUAAUAUAUCGGAACGUACCUUUCAGUGGGGGAUAACGUAGCGAAAGUUACGCUAAUACCGCAUAUUCUGUGAGCAGGAAAGCAGGGGAUCGCAAGACCUUGCGCUGAUUGAGCGGCCGAUAUCAGAUUAGCUAGUUGGUGAGGUAAAGGCUCACCAAGGCGACGAUCUGUAGCGGGUCUGAGAGGAUGAUCCGCCACACUGGAACUGAGACACGGUCCAGACUCCUACGGGAGGCAGCAGUGGGGAAUUUUGGACAAUGGGCGCAAGCCUGAUCCAGCCAUGCCGCGUGAGUGAAGAAGGCCUCGGUGUAAGCUCUUCGUCCGGACGGAAGUACG
Molecule: ribosomal RNA, 417 nt
Filed under: uncultured bacterium
Lineage: Bacteria
Description: bacterial SSU rRNA
Rfam family: Bacterial small subunit ribosomal RNA
Source: RNAcentral